GCCUGGGUGGCUCAGUCGGUUGAGCAUCUGACUUCGGCUCAGGUCAUGAUCUCACAGCUCGUGAGUUCAAGCCCCGCGUCGGGCU
RNAcentral lists this transfer RNA (85 nucleotides) under Felis catus (domestic cat). It matches the Rfam family "tRNA". Rfam says of the family: Transfer RNA (tRNA) molecules are approximately 80 nucleotides in length. Their secondary structure includes four short double-helical elements and three loops (D, anti-codon, and T loops). Lineage: Eukaryota; Metazoa; Chordata; Mammalia; Carnivora; Felidae. The record is from Rfam by way of RNAcentral. RNAcentral also lists the same sequence under 3 other names.